AAUUCUCAACCCCCCUAUUUUUUAAUGAAAUAGGCUUGCGGGCUUGGAUUAUGGCUGGCUGUCGGCUCGUCACGAGUCGGCUCAGCUGAAAUACACGAGCGACCCAGCUGAAACAGUGACGGCUUGACUCGGCGUGAUAACCUAUUUCGCUGAGGACGUCCACCGGACGUUUCAAGUGGUGGGGGGCUUCUAACGCAAUAUCGAACUCUUAAGAUUUUA
This 219-nucleotide unclassified non-coding RNA is filed under the name uncultured Microbotryomycetes. RNAcentral's name for it is "sequence contains ITS2". Lineage: Eukaryota; Fungi; Basidiomycota; Microbotryomycetes. The record is from RNAcentral.